Molecule: ribosomal RNA, 878 nt
Filed under: Flavobacteriaceae bacterium 96-3PB
Lineage: Bacteria; Pseudomonadati; Bacteroidota; Flavobacteriia; Flavobacteriales; Flavobacteriaceae
Description: bacterial SSU rRNA
Rfam family: Bacterial small subunit ribosomal RNA
Source: RNAcentral
UGCAGCCGAGCGGUAUAGUUUCUUCGGAAACUAGAGAGCGGCGUACGGGUGCGUAACACGUGUGCAACCUACCUUUAUCAGGGGAAUAGCCUUUCGAAAGGAAGAUUAAUACUCCAUAAUAUAUUGAAUGGCAUCAUUUAAUAUUGAAAACUCCGGUGGAUAGAGAUGGGCACGCGCAAGAUUAGAUAGUUGGUGAGGUAACGGCUCACCAAGUCAAUGAUCUUUAGGGGUCCUGAGAGGGAGAUCCCCCACACUGGUACUGAGACACGGACCAGACUCCUACGGGAGGCAGCAGUGAGGAAUAUUGGACAAUGGGUGAGAGCCUGAUCCAGCCAUCCCGCGUGAAGGAUUAAGGUCCUAUGGAUUGUAAACUUCUUUUGUACAGGGAUAAACCUAGAUACGUGUAUCUAGCUGAAGGUACUGUACGAAUAAGCACCGGCUAACUCCGUGCCAGCAGCCGCGGUAAUACGGAGGGUGCAAGCGUUAUCCGGAUUUAUUGGGUUUAAAGGGUCCGCAGGCGGACCGAUAAGUCAGUGGUGAAAUCUCAUAGCUUAACUAUGAAACUGCCAUUGAUACUGUCGGUCUUGAGUAAAUUAGAGGUAGCUGGAAUAAGUAGUGUAGCGGUGAAAUGCAUAGAUAUUACUUAGAACACCAAUUGCGAAGGCAGGUUACCAUGAUUUAACUGACGCUGAGGGACGAAAGCGUGGGUAGCGAACAGGAUUAGAUACCCUGGUAGUCCACGCCGUAAACGAUGCUAACUCGUUUUUGGGGCGCAAGCCUCAGAGACCAAGCGAAAGUGAUAAGUUAGCCACCUGGGGAGUACGUUCGCAAGAAUGAAACUCAAAGGAAUUGACGGGGGCCCGCACAAGCGGUGGAUU